This 434-nucleotide long non-coding RNA is filed under the name Mytilus galloprovincialis (Mediterranean mussel). Lineage: Eukaryota; Metazoa; Mollusca; Bivalvia; Mytilida; Mytilidae. The record is from RNAcentral.
CUGUGUUUCCAAGGAUUCCAACAUGACUCGGAACCCAUAGAAAUAUUAUUUCUUUCAGAAGAAUUUUUAAAUUCCUCAUUACAUAUAAAAUUUGGAGAUUGUUUGGGUUUUUAAUUUUAGUAUUUUGUAUAGCUUGUAAGCAUGAAAGUGAAUCAGAACAUAUAAUAAAUUUGGAUUUAUCUGAAGAAGCAAUAAAUUUCAAAGCCAAAAUUAUUGCUUCUGCUUCAGCAGUAAAGAUGGAUGCAUCAGAUGGCAAACGGAGAGUUGCAGCUCUGUCCCUGAAGACAGCAGCAGAUGCAACUCUGUCGCCAUCUUUUGAUCCAUCAGUAUAGACAGUUGAAAAAUCUGGAUAAUUGGCUUUAAUUUCAGCAUAGUGUUGCUGAAUUAAAAGAGGAUUUGUUUUAUUUUUAUUGUGUUCACGGAGAUCAAAUAUC